Equus asinus (donkey) is the source of this 121-nucleotide microRNA precursor. The record is from Ensembl. Lineage: Eukaryota; Metazoa; Chordata; Mammalia; Perissodactyla; Equidae.
CAAAGUAUCUUCAUUUGUCUUCUUGCUGAUCCUCAGGACAAAUCUAUGUUGAUGAAUUAGUAAGGGAUUCAGUAACACGGAUUUGUCAUGAGGGUAAAUGAGAAAAUCUACAUAGAAGCCC